RNAcentral lists this ribosomal RNA (636 nucleotides) under uncultured bacterium. Its description in RNAcentral is "bacterial SSU rRNA". It matches the Rfam family "Bacterial small subunit ribosomal RNA", at positions 58 to 695 of the family's 1533-position model. The record is from RNAcentral.
CAAGUCGAGCGGGAUUAGCAGCAAUGCUAUGAGAGCGGCGCACGGGUGCGUAACGCGUAUGCAACCUGCCUUAUACAGGGGAAUAGCCCAUGGAAACGUGGAUUAAUGUCCCAUAAGAUUACGGAUUCGCAUGGAUUUGUGAUUAAAACUGAGGUGGUAUAAGAUGGGCAUGCGUCUGAUUAGGUAGUUGGUAGGGUAAUGGCCUACCAAGCCGACGAUCAGUAGGGGUUCUGAGAGGAUUACCCCCCACACUGGUACUGAGACACGGACCAGACUCCUACGGGAGGCAGCAGUGAGGAAUAUUGGUCAAUGGCCGGAAGGCUGAACCAGCCAUCCCGCGUGCAGGAUGACGGCCCUAUGGGUUGUAAACUGCUUUUGUACCUGAAGAAACCUGUUUACGAGUAGACAGUUGCCGGUAAGGUAUGAAUAAGCAUCGGCUAACUCCGUGCCAGCAGCCGCGGUAAUACGGAGGAUGCAAGCGUUAUCCGGAUUCAUUGGGUUUAAAGGGUGCGCAGGUGGGAAAAUAAGUCAGUGGUGAAAUACUGCCGCUUAACGGUAGAAUUGCCAUUGAUACUGUUUUUCUUGAGUAUGGUUGAGGUAGGUGGAAUGUGUUGUGUAGCGGUGAAAUGCAUAGAU